Molecule: non-coding RNA, 991 nt
Organism: Meleagris gallopavo (turkey)
Lineage: Eukaryota; Metazoa; Chordata; Aves; Galliformes; Phasianidae
Source: RefSeq, a predicted model, not a curated record
AACUGCUGGGGACAGAGAAACUGCCUUUGUUCGUGAGCCAUCAGAAUAUGAAUAUCUGACAAUUUUCAAAAGAAUCAAUUAAAAUCAAUCUAUGUGUGAAGAACAUUUUGAUGGCAUGGACUGGAAAUGCCUGUUAAUGUGCUAACCACCUUCCUUCAGACCUUUUGAAGAUGAAGCAGGGGACAAUAGGUUUGCUUGCUCUGUGGAUGAUCAAAUCGGCUAAAUUGCUAGCUAUGCAGACAGGAAAUUAAUCAUGCAAAAGCACUUGCACAUCUGUAUGAAUGUUCAUCUUAAAUUUAACUGGGAAGUUUAAAUGGCUUUAGACAAAGAGUCAAAAUCCUAAACAAUAAGUCUUAAAAAAAAAAAAGUACUAAAAGAAAAAUAAAUGAAUAUUUUUCCAUUUUAAGCACAUGUAAAAUCACAAGAAAAGUUCUGACUUACAGAUAUCAAAGAAACAAAAAUGCAGGAGUUCUCAGUCCUUCUGCUCCUACAACUAAUUGCUUUAGAGCAAGAGUACUUCCUUUUUAUGGCUUUGUUACAAACCUCUGGAACUAAAGAGCAACAGAAUAAUGACCUCAGCUGGGGUUAGUGAGGUGAAGAGCAGCUCAAAGUAUUCUUGAGAACAUUUCUGAACAUUAGAUAUGUGUUAAAAAAAAAAAAAGAGAGGGAAAGAGACACAGAAAGGAAAAAACUCUCAAAUCAGUUUUCUGGUAUCCACAUACAACAAGGAAUAACUUUUGUUUCUUCUGAUGAGUAAUUCUAAAACCACCAACAAACAAAAAACCUCACAAAUUAAGCUUUAAUUCUCUGAAAAUAUGACCACAGUACAUAUGUCUUCUCCACCCAAAGCAGGAAGAAAAUGGAAGUAGCUGAUGUCAAAGAGCAAACUCCUUUUUCCCUUUCUUCAAAGGAAAGUGAAGACGUUCACAUUUAAAGAGCGAACUCCACAAUGAAGAAGAGAGCUGAAAAUAACAUAUGGAAUAUAAUACCA